RNAcentral lists this ribosomal RNA (446 nucleotides) under uncultured bacterium. Its description in RNAcentral is "partial 16S ribosomal RNA". It matches the Rfam family "Bacterial small subunit ribosomal RNA", at positions 338 to 795 of the family's 1533-position model. The record is from RNAcentral.
CCUACGGGAGGCUGCAGUCGAGAAUCAUUCACAAUGGGGGAAACCCUGAUGGUGCGACGCCGCGUGGGGGAAUGAAGGUCUUCGGAUUGUAAACCCCUGUCAGGUGGGAGCAAAUUAAAAAGAUAGUACCACAAGAGGAAGAGACGGCUAACGCUGUCCCAGCAGCCGCGGUAAUACAGAGGUCUCGAGCGUUGUUCGGAAUCACUGGGCGGAAAGCGUGCGUAGGCUGUUUCGUAAGUCGUGUGUGAAAGGCGCGGGCUCAACCCGCGGACGGCACAUGAUACUGCGAGACUAGAGUAAUGGAGGGGGAAGCGGAAUUCUCGGUGUAGCAGUGAAAUGCGUAGAUAGCGAGAGGAACACUCGUGGCGAGGGCGGGUUCCUGGACAUUAACUGACGCUGAGGCACGAAGGCCAGGGGAGCGAAAGGGAUUAGAUACCCGGGUAGUC